UACGUAGGGGGCAAGCGUUGUCCGGAAUCAUUGGGCGUAAAGCGCGUGUAGGCGGCCAGAAAAGUCCGCUGUGAAAACUCGAGGCUCAACUUCGAGCUGUCGGUGGAAACUAUUUGGCUAGAGUCCGGAAGAGGAGAGUGGAAUUCCUGGUGUAGCGGUGAAAUGCGCAGAUAUCAGGAAGAACACCCGUGGCGAAGGCGGCUCUCUGGUACGGAACUGACGCUGAGACGCGAAAGCGUGGGGAGCGAACAGG
Molecule: ribosomal RNA, 253 nt
Filed under: uncultured bacterium
Lineage: Bacteria
Description: partial 16S ribosomal RNA
Rfam family: Bacterial small subunit ribosomal RNA
Source: RNAcentral